AAAUUUCCGUGUCCAACGUUUGACCGUCCGUCUUAUUUUAAAAAAUUAUAAAAAAUAAUUAAAAAGAUAAGUCACGCAUAAAGUAUUAAUCAUGUUUUAUCAUCUAACAAUAAUAAAAAUACUAAUUAUAGAAAAAUCAUAUAAGACGGACAGUCAAACAUUGAACGUGGAAACCUAGGGUUUGUCUUUUU
MicroRNA precursor from Oryza sativa Indica Group (long-grained rice), 191 nucleotides. It matches the Rfam family "MIR812 microRNA precursor family". The record is from Rfam. NCBI's taxonomy places the organism in Eukaryota, Viridiplantae, Streptophyta, Magnoliopsida, Poales, Poaceae.